UUAUUCAGAGAGGAUGCAUUAAAUUGAUGAAAAGUUAAACAGUAAAGACAUUGUUACAAAAGAUGUUUAAUUUAAAUAAACAUAGUUUUUAACCAUCUUUUCAUCAGAGAAGCAGAACAACUGUUUUCAGAGUUGAUAAUAAAAAGAAAUGUUUCUUCAGCACCAAACUGGAAUAUUAGAAUGACUUUUGUAUAAUUUAUUUUUGUAUAAUGUGACACUGUUUUGCCACCACAUCAGAAAAUUUAAUUUUAAAAUAUAUUAAAAUUUAAAACAUUUAUUUUAGUAUUUAUUGUAGUAAUAUUUCACAAUAUUCAUGUAUUUAUGAUCAAAUAUAUGCAUCCAAAUAUUUGAAAGACAGUGUAUGUUUAAUACAGUUUUUUUUUUUUUUGAUUAUAAUAUAAUAGAAUGUAUGCUAUUACAGCAGAAGUCUUCAAGAAACAUUCAAGUAAGUUAAGUACAGGUAAAUUAUCUUGCUAGCCAAACAAAGCACAAAGUGUAACUCUAAGCAAGUACUCUAACUUUUUGUUUUUACUGUGGCUAUUGAUAUAUAUUUAAUGGUAGAUUUAUUUGGUUCUUUGUUUGUUUGCAGCAUCCAUAUUAAAUUAAUAAUUCAGCUGGAUAACAGGAAAGAAAAAGAUGCAAAGCUAACAUUAAAAAGGCUGCUAAGAGGUGGACACACUGACCGCUAGACCAGCAUGCCCUCUGAGACCUAACAACAUGCAACCUGAUGUUUCUCACUUCCACUAUUUUCUUCAGCUGUUCAUUCACAUACUGUAUCAUGUAUCAUAUGACAAAAUGGGUGUAUAAUGUGUCUGAUGCAAAUACAUUCUAGUCAUGUAAGGAUCUUUGCUGUUAGAGCUAAGGUAUAUAGUUUCAACCUCAGAUGAAAUGCUGAGGGUCUAAUCUGAUUGGCUGGCAUGCAAACAAUCUACAAUUUCAGAGGUCAUACAAGGCUAUUGCAAUCAGUGCUUCAGAGGAAGAAAUAAAAAAUUUUUUUGAGGUUCA
This is a long non-coding RNA of Cyprinus carpio (common carp), 1005 nucleotides long. The record is from Ensembl. Lineage: Eukaryota; Metazoa; Chordata; Actinopteri; Cypriniformes; Cyprinidae.